AUGAAAGCAGGCAACGACCUCCACGCCGACGAGGAAGACGGCGACCCGAUUGAGUCGAACGCCAGUUACCAAGUCUCCGUCAAGGUGAAACCGGACCAAGUCGGCGGGACCAGCGACAACGAGUUCGUUGACAAGACCUCCUCGAAGGAAUUCGAAGAGAACCUCUCGCUCGUGCCCACACACGCCAAGGACAACCUCGUCAAGGACGAGAAGAACGAGAUCGUGCCGCCUCCGCAGUCAAGCUACUCGGCCACCGGGUUCCAGUACUUCGAAAACGGCAACUACGGCCAAGCCUCCACCAUCUACGGCAAACAAACCGCCGAAUCCGUCAACAGCCCGCAGAACUACGAGAACACCCAAAAUGUGAGAGACGAUUACACUUCGGCCCCAGCAUCUUCCACCUCCACGACUGCGAGUGGCUACAACGGUGACUACCAGAGUAACAACACGAAUAAUCAGUGGAAUGUCUACAACGGUGACAUCGAUUACGGAAGCGACAGUCAAUCUAACGGUGACAGCUUCAAGGUGAAUGUAGGCAGCAGCCAAGGGGUCGACUACACAAGUAAUAAUUGGAACGUCCAUUACGGAUUUGGUUCCGGUUACGGAGGUAGCAGCGACAGUCAAAAUAACAGCAACAAUUACAACAGCGGGAAUUAUAACAAUGGCAACGUGAAUUCCAACGCAAAUAACAAUUACAAUAGCAAUUCCAACACGAAUAACAACUUUAACAAUAAUUAUGAUGGGAACACGGCUACCAGCAGUUCCACACAGAAUAAUUACGAGAACAAACCAGUUGAGAGCACCCAGAGUACAAAUACGAACGUUGAAAGCACCAAUGCUUACAAGAACACGCAGAAUAAUUAUGCGCCGUCCAGCAACGAUAACGUAUCAAGCGCAAGUGGUAGCGGAAGCUACAAGACAAUUAAAGAACAACCAAAACGACCCGAGUACAUUCGACCCGACAGCCAGAGUGAAGAAUCAAUAGACGUACCAAAUUACUACAACAAGAAUAACAAUAAUGUUCACUACGCAAAUCCACAAUCCCAAAGUUCGGGUAACCAGGUACAUCCCAGUCCGAGCAGUAGUCCUGCGAAGCCACAAAAUCAAGGGUCACACGCGCCUUCAAAUGCCUACGCUCACGUGACGUUUACCACGGACCAUAAAUUGGAGGAUCAUAAGAAAGGGCAGGAGUACAACGGUGGUAAUAUCAGAGGCGGUGCGUACAUUCCGAACGGACCGAGGCCCAACAUACCUUUCAAAGGAGCAUACGUGUUGAACCCGAAUCAAAGACCGAACAGACCGCCUUCAUACCCGCCAUCGAUGGGCAGGCCCAGUACCAAAAGAGACCGAACUACAUCAACGGGCAGAACCAACAAAGGUUAUCCAACAGGCCACCGAUGGGUGCGAUCGCGGCCGCUCAGAACCACCCCCGCCCGGUCAUCGUCAAGAAACCUAUCUACCGAGUCCCACAACAACAAAGACCGACCAACUACGGUCAACCUGGAACACGACCACCGCACGUCAAGAGCCAGCCUCCGAAGAUAA
This 1545-nucleotide long non-coding RNA is filed under the name Bemisia tabaci. RNAcentral describes it as "lncRNA ENSSWEETPG013434". The record is from RNAcentral. Lineage: Eukaryota; Metazoa; Arthropoda; Insecta; Hemiptera; Aleyrodidae.